This is a long non-coding RNA of Daphnia pulicaria, 612 nucleotides long. RefSeq lists it as uncharacterized. NCBI's taxonomy places the organism in Eukaryota, Metazoa, Arthropoda, Branchiopoda, Diplostraca, Daphniidae. The record is from RefSeq and is a predicted model, not a curated record. The transcript is spliced from 2 exons.
CCGUCUAGUGGAUUUAAUUUUAACCACUAGUGAUAGCUAGCAUCCACGUCCACGGACGGCUGGACGGAACGGAUGGAUUGUCAGCUACCUGCGUUAGCAAGGUAGGCUACCCGAAGGACUGCUGUGAUUUUUUUCCAUUUAAAAUCAAAAUAGCCCAGCAGUAGCCUAGCACCAGCAUAUGUUUUUGUCCAAAUUAAAUUUGUUAUGAUUAGAACCUGAAACACAGGUACAGCCACAGGAAUACUUGGUCCAACAGACAGAAGUUUAGUUGAUUGGCAGGGUAUUUGCUUUGAACUAAAACUGAAACACAAAAAGGACACCAACAAGCCAAAAAGGCAAGUGCCGUGGAUUGCAAUUAUACCUACGCUGAAAGUUAGGUUCAAUCACGUCAAGGAACGAGAAAUGCUCGAUGUAUACUCUUUCGAUCGUUUUGUAUUGGAAAGUAGCUGCACAAGAACAUGAGAUGAAUGAUAAAGAUCAAAAUAAAAUAGAUCCAUUUUCAACGAGCACAUUGUUUUCCUUCUCCAAAUCAUCAAAAUCAUUUCGUAGGAGUGAAGUUGUUGCUCGAAGAAAGUUUUUUUUUUUUUUUCUCGUUUUCACCACAAAAACACG